CUUCCCUACAAAUGUGUUUAAGAUGUAAUUCACCAAUUUGAGCAUGUCCCAAGUUUCUUAAACUUGGUAUUGCAGAGAUCAUGGUACUGAUGCGGUUCGAUGAGAUCUGAUUUACCAAUGCAUUGGAGCCAAUUUCAUUCUAUUUAUUUCGAAUUCCUGUUUGCAGGCAAAUCUUUAAACCAUGGUCCAUGGGAGAGAACUCUGGGUUUAGCUUCCAUUUUAAAGCAAGUCCCAAAAGAUAAAAUAUUACCAUGAAGGACACCAACCAGGUCGCCACCUGCUCCUCUAUCUGGUUCCCUUUGCUAACACGAACCUUGUUGAGCUUCAUAGAGACUAAUUUUUUAUUUUAUUUUAUUUUAUUGUUGAAAUACUUGACUAAGUUUCUAAAGGUGCGUCACUUCACCAUACUUUUUCAUGAUUUUAAGUACCCUUUAAAACGAAGAGGAAAUGCUGCAAAAAUAGGUUUAAAAACAUAGAGGACACGUGUCGAAGCAUGAAUGGAAAAUUUGAAAUUUUAAAAGAAAAAAUAUCCAACCAAAUGCUGUGAACUCAGUCAGUCCACAAUUCCAUGUUUUUAACCCGUUCAACCAUCAUUGCUGUAGAACAAAAAUUUCAUAAUAAAUAAUUUGUACUUUUACGGCAAG
RNAcentral lists this long non-coding RNA (644 nucleotides) under Olea europaea subsp. europaea. The record is from RNAcentral. Lineage: Eukaryota; Viridiplantae; Streptophyta; Magnoliopsida; Lamiales; Oleaceae.